GCUGCUCGAAACUUUGCACACCUCUCCGUGGUGAGCAGCAGGCAACGAUCAUAUGUGUGAUCGGCUAAGAAUGCAGAG
This 78-nucleotide ribozyme is filed under the name unclassified sequences. RNAcentral describes it as "HDV ribozyme from F. prausnitzii". It matches the Rfam family "HDV ribozyme from F. prausnitzii". The record is from RNAcentral.